UACGUAGGCGGCUUUUUAAGUCGGAUGUGAAAUCCCUGAGCUUAACUUAGGAAUUGCAUUCGAUACUGGGAAGCUAGAGUAUGGAAGAGGAUGGUAGAAUUCCAGGUGUAGCGGUGAAAUGCGUAGAGAUCUGGAGGAAUACCGAUGGCGAAGGCAGCCAUCUGGCCUAAUACUGACGCUGAGGUACGAAAGCAUGGGGAGCAAACA
Molecule: ribosomal RNA, 207 nt
Filed under: uncultured bacterium
Lineage: Bacteria
Description: partial 16S ribosomal RNA
Rfam family: Bacterial small subunit ribosomal RNA
Source: RNAcentral